GAUAGUGUUUCCGAGUGGCCUAUGGCGAUGGUUUUAGGCACCAGUCUCUUCGGAGGCAAGGGUUCGAAUCCCUUCAAUGUCA
Daphnia pulex (common water flea) is the source of this 82-nucleotide non-coding RNA. NCBI's taxonomy places the organism in Eukaryota, Metazoa, Arthropoda, Branchiopoda, Diplostraca, Daphniidae. The record is from Rfam.